This is a long non-coding RNA of Mus caroli (Ryukyu mouse), 515 nucleotides long. RefSeq lists it as uncharacterized. Lineage: Eukaryota; Metazoa; Chordata; Mammalia; Rodentia; Muridae. The record is from RefSeq and is a predicted model, not a curated record.
CCGGAAGGCGGGAGCUUCCCUGAGAAGCUGCUGUGAUUUAACUAUCUGGAGAAAACCCCCGGAGAAGAAAGCUUUGUGAAGACUCUACCUUCCAGCAGCAGUUAAGUGUGCCAGCAUGUUCAGUUUCUCCACUGAGUCAUUGAAAAAACAAAGACCAGUCAACAAAGAAAAAAAAAAAUCCCAGCUACUGGGGAGGUCAAGGCAGGAGAAUGGUGAGUUCCAGGAGAGCCUGGACUUCCUAGCAACACCAGGUCCUAUCACUGGGGAUUUUUGGUCCUAUCUAUCGCCCACCUCGGGAAGACAGUCACCUGAUGUUUCUCCUCAAAGAGCACGGGCCCUGUGUUUAUCACGGGCUUUCCCGUCAUCCCUCUUGGUCGGGUGCUGUGUGCCAAGGGCGUUAGAAGACCCCAGCCCCAGCUACACCAUUUUGCUCUGAGCUGCUUCUGGUUCCCUUUGAACACUGAAGGAAGAUGGAGGCUGCAGAAAGCCAAAGGACGAGGACAAGCGGCAAACCC